UGGUGCCAGCAGCCGCGGUAAUUCCAGCUCCAAUAGCGUAUAUUAAAGUUGUUGCAGUUAAAAAGCUUGUAGUUGGAUUUCUGUUAAUAAUUUAUAUAAAAUAUUUUGAUGAAUAUUUAUAUAAUAUUAACAUAAUUCAUAUUACUAUUUUUUUUUUAGUAUAUGAAAUUUUACUUUGAGAAAAUUAGAGUGCUUAAAGCAGGCAUAUGCCUUGAAUACUCCAGCAUGGAAUAAUAUUAAAGAUUUUUAUCUUUUUUAUUGGUUCUAAGAUAAGAAUAAUGAUUAAUAGGGACAGUUGGGGGCAUUUGUAUUUAACAGUCAGAGGUGAAAUUCUUAGAUUUGUUAAAGACAAACUAAUGCGAAAGCAUUUGCCAAGGAUGUUUUCAUUAAUCAAGAACGAAAGUUAGGGGAU
This 412-nucleotide ribosomal RNA is filed under the name Cryptosporidium hominis. RNAcentral's name for it is "partial small subunit ribosomal RNA". It matches the Rfam family "Eukaryotic small subunit ribosomal RNA", at positions 562 to 998 of the family's 1831-position model. The record is from RNAcentral. Lineage: Eukaryota; Apicomplexa; Conoidasida; Eucoccidiorida; Cryptosporidiidae.